Molecule: ribosomal RNA, 627 nt
Filed under: uncultured Russulaceae
Lineage: Eukaryota; Fungi; Basidiomycota; Agaricomycetes; Russulales; Russulaceae
Description: LSU rRNA
Rfam family: Eukaryotic large subunit ribosomal RNA
Source: RNAcentral
UAAGCGGAGGAAAAGAAACUAACAGGAUUCCCCUAGUAACUGCGAGUGAAGCGGGAAAAGCUCAAAUUUAAAAUCUGGUGGUCUUUGGCCAUCCGAGUUGUAAUUUAGAGAAGCGUCUUCCGCGCUGGACCGUGCACAAGUCUCCUGGAAUGGAGCGUCAUAGAGGGUGAGAAUCCCGUCUUUGGCACGGGAUGUACCAGGGCUUUUGUGAUGCGCUCUCGAAGAGUCGAGUUGUUUGGGAAUGCAGCCCAAAAUGGGUGGUGAACUCCAUCUAAAGCUAAAUAUUGGCGAGAGACCGAUAGCGAACAAGUACCGUGAGGGAAAGAUGAAAAGCACUUUGGAAAGAGAGUGAAACAGUACGUGAAAUUGUUGAAAGGGAAACGCUUGAAGUCAGUCGCGUCGACCGAGACUCAGUCUUGCCUCGGCUUGGUGUACUUCUCGGCUGACGGGUCAGCAUCAAUUUUGCCCCUUGGAUAAUGGCGAGGGAAAUGUGACACCUUUACGGUGUGUUAUAGUCUUUCGUCGCAUGCAAGGGUUGGGAUUGAGGAACUCAGCACGCGCCCUCGGGCGUCGGGGCUUUGCCCACGAUACGUGCUUAGGAUGUUGGCGUAAUGGCUUUAAACGACC